AACGAACGCUGGCGGCAGGCCUAACACAUGCAAGUCGAGCGAGGUAGCAAUACCUAGCGGCGGACGGGUGAGUAACGCGUGGGAACGUACCCUUUGCUACGGAAUAGCCUCGGGAAACUGGGAGUAAUACCGUAUGUGCCCUUCGGGGAAAGGAUUUAUCGGCAAAGGAUCGGCCCGCGUUGGAUUAGGUAGUUGGUGGGGUAAGUGGCCUACCAAGCCUACGAUCCAUAGCUGGUUUGAGAGGAUGAUCAGCCACACUGGGACUGAGACACGGCCCAGACUCCUACGGGAGGCAGCAGUGGGGAAUCUUAGACAAUGGGCGGCAAGCCUGAUCUAGCCAUGCCGCGUGAGUGACG
Molecule: ribosomal RNA, 356 nt
Filed under: uncultured bacterium
Lineage: Bacteria
Description: bacterial SSU rRNA
Rfam family: Bacterial small subunit ribosomal RNA
Source: RNAcentral